Long non-coding RNA from Triticum dicoccoides, 3466 nucleotides. RefSeq lists it as uncharacterized. The record is from RefSeq and is a predicted model, not a curated record. NCBI's taxonomy places the organism in Eukaryota, Viridiplantae, Streptophyta, Magnoliopsida, Poales, Poaceae. The transcript is spliced from 3 exons.
ACGUUUCGUUUUUUUGUAAAAAAACACCCGACCACAAACGGAGCACGGGCUCGCGCUCGCCUCCUCUCCCUCUCGCGCAGAAGUCCUCGCCGCCGCCGCCACCACCCACGCCGGAGCUCGCUGGACGGUCGCUUCCAGCGAGCUCCAUCGCCGCGCAACACGUACCCGAGCUCCCCACGGUCCGCGCCUUCCUUCCCUCCAGCCAGUUUCUCCGCUCCCGGCCUCUAUCGUCCGCUCCCAACCCCACCCCCAUGGCUAGGGUUUCGGGCAGGGCUUCGUCGGCGCGUCUCCCGCUCGCCGCCUUCUCCCACCACGCUAGCCUCCCUUCCCUAGCUACCCUCCCGUCGUGGAGCACCCUCACUGGGCACUCCUUUCUCUCCCCCUCCUGGCUCCUCCCGUCACCGAACUGAAGCACCAGCCGUUCCUCCUCCACCCCCUGAUUUGGGGCAGCAACACCAUGAGCUAACACCCAGGCGACGAUCUCCUGCUGGUGUGGGUCAGUGUGGGCUUCCUCGAUCUGGGGCAGACUGGCCGGUUCCGGCGUGGGGAGAGGAGGAAGGUGAGACGGGAGGCCAAGGCAACGGCGAGAUCCACGUCGAGCCACCAUGGCCAUGACCAGAUCCACGAUGAGGUUAAAUGGGGCCGGCUGCUCCCUACAGGACGACGAAACUCUUCAAGGGUGAUCCUUCUCUUUUCCCCGAGAUUGAUGUGCCUGUGGCAUGCUUGCUCUCCAUGUGUAUGUGCUUGUUGUAUUUGCCUGCAUCUGAUGGUUCUUCCAAUGUGCGUGCUUGAGAAAUACACCUGCAGGUGAUGAUUCUUCAUGAUAUGUGCCUGCUUCUUGUGUUGCUUCCAGGACAUAGAACUACCUGCAAUGAUUCCUUGUGUGCUUUUGUUCCGGGUUCCUUAGCUUCUUUUGGUGGAUUAGCUACUGUAUAAAAUAAAACAAGCAAGCAGUUCAUAUGGGUUGAUUAGCUGAUGCAUGUGAUGCGUAUAAAUGGAUAAUUGAGAUGGGUGUGAUUUAUUCAUGAGAUGUACUCUGAUUUCUAAGAAAAGGGUUUCUUCUUGGUUGAGAAUAAUAUAAUUUGAGAUGUACUGCUAUGUGUUUGCUCUCCAUCUUGGACAUUCUAAGCUACAACUGGUGAAGUGUUGAUAGGUUUGAAUUAGGUAUUUUGGACCUAACACAUUUCUAUCAAUUGUUUCAGAUUGACCCCGCGAAUUACAAGAGCAUCUCAUCUGGAUUUGGUGUUCUGUUAAAGGAGCAAGGAGCUAGGGGAUUCUUCAGGGGAUGGGUACCUUGCUUGGUUAUAGUGCUCAGGGCGCUUGCAAGUUUGGGUUCUACAAGUUCUUUACGAAGACCUACUCAGAUAUGGCUGGGCCUGACAACGCCGUGAAGUACAAGACCCUAAUUUACCUUGCAGGUUCAACUUCUGCUGAGGUUGGAGAGAAUAUGUACGACUAAUGUUUGAGCAGAAGGAGAGUGAAAGAUGCAAGAGUGAUACACCCAAUCACUUGAUUUGAGUCAAACCUGGUUUGUUGUACAGGAUUCCACUGUAUUUGUCCGCACAAAUACUUCUUGAUAUUUACUCAUGAUAGUUUUUCUCCAUAGUUCAGUGUCUACAUCUCUAUUCUCCUAAUAUAGUCAUAUUGUCCAUAUAAGUGCAGCUUUUAUUUUGAGUUCUUCCUGGAUGCCACUCUGAAGGUGAAUUCUUCCUGGGUGUAUCAUGCACCUGUGUCUUGCCGUUCUAUAUUCUCAAGUCUGAACUGCAGAUUCUCAAAGGUUUUAUUCACUCACCAGCUCUGGCUUUUGGUGUACACGGUACACCGUGAGGCAAGAAGGUUGACAUGUUCAUCUGUUAUCAUGAGUGUCGUGUUUACUCUUGCAGUUCAGUUGUUAAGCUUAAGCUAAAGAUCUGAUUGUACUGUCUAGAGGUGGAAUGGCUAAGCUCUCUUUAUAAUCCUUUUACUGAAUAUCUUGCAAAUGACACACUAAAGGGCAUGAAGUUAUUAGGUGUGUGGGUAUCAGUCCACUAUGUUCUUAUGUCUAUGGAUCCGCGAAAUGUUUGAUGCUUUAUUGGUUUUGGUCACAAAAAUGUUUGGUGUACAUGCUUUCAUCUUGAAUAUAUGUAGCUCUAAAUAAUGCUACUUCCCAGUUAGUUCAUUGAAGUAAUAAUACAAUCAAUUGGAUGUUCUUCUACUGUUAUGGGUCUAGCGGAAAAAAAUGUUUGUUUCGAUAUCAUUGUAUUUCUCCAUAGUUCAUUGUCAACAUCUUUAUUCUCCUAAUACAGUCAUAUUAUCCAUAUAAGUGCAGCUUUUAGUUCGUAAAAGUACUUUGUACUUUGCCCAAUUGAUUUCACUAGAUCCCCUGUUUGUACAGUAUGGAUGAAACACCUUGCAAUUAUUUCACUAGAUCGAUUGAUGAUAGCUUGCUGUUGCUGAUGAAACCGAAGAAACUGUAUCUAUUCCAGGCCAGUUGCCAACCAAACCAACAUUGUCUCAGUUACUGGUUCAAAGAUGUCUCAAACCACGCACAAACAUUUCAGUUGAUACAUACACCAUAAGUUUGGUUGUCCGCUCUUUUAGAUGCCCAGAAGCAUGAUUCUCGAGAUCAUUGCUCACUGAACAUAAGACCAAAUGUUCCAAUUUAUUUUAUUGCUCAAAGAAGAAUUGGUGUUCUGUUGUCUUAUCCUGCGACACUAUAUGGCAUCAGGUUGUUUGCUUCCAUCAAUUGGCUUGUGGGUUGUGCUUUGCACUGUUAUCAGUGUUUCUGUCAGAUUAUUGUCUAGCUUAAUGAUCUGUUGCACCAACAUGUAUGGAAGUUGUUGGUGUGGUGAUCGCCGUAGGGCCCGGACUGACUGGCAAGAAAGAUGGGGAUGUUGUCGCGUACGCAGGCAAGCCGAUGGGCUCUUAUGCUAAAGAGCAGAUUAUUCCAGCCAAUGUUGGUUCCCGUCACGCCUUUGAUUGAUCACACAAUGGCUGCUAUCAUGCUGAAGGGGAUGACUGUCCAUAUGCUGGUUCGCAGCAUAUUUAAGGUACAUUUUGUCUUGUUCCUGCUGUGUGACAUACUGAUCCGCUGCACAUCCGCGUGAAGCACACCCACCCACUGCCGGAGGCGUCCCGCGCCCAUGCUGAUCUCAAGGCCCGGAAGACGCCGAGCUCCGUACUGCUGACCCCGUAGAACUGAGCACUGUCAUAUUUUUUGGGUAGGAGAAGAAGGAAUAAACAGGGGACUCGGCGAUGUAUGUGCUCUAGAAUCUACAAUGCUUGUGAAUAUGUUCGCAGGUGUUGGCAUCUGAAUACUGAAUCCUCCGUCUGUCUGUUUCACCUCGUUAUGUUGGAUUCAGUAUGAAUGAGUGUGUUUGGUGGUUAUGAGUUGGAUUGUGGUCUUGUUGUGCACAUCACUGUUUGAAGCAUGAUGAGUUGUAAAGACCAAUAUUUUCCAAUAUAGUGACCUAGCAGGACAAGUAUU